RNAcentral lists this ribosomal RNA (497 nucleotides) under uncultured bacterium. RNAcentral's name for it is "partial 16S ribosomal RNA". It matches the Rfam family "Bacterial small subunit ribosomal RNA", at positions 28 to 507 of the family's 1533-position model. The record is from RNAcentral.
GAUGAACGCUGGCGGCGUGCCUAAUACAUGCAAGUCGAGCGAACAGACGAGGAGCUUGCUCCUCUGACGUUAGCGGCGGACGGGUGAGUAACACGUGGAUAACCUACCUAUAAGACUGGGAUAACUUCGGGAAACCGGAGCUAAUACCGGAUAAUAUAUUGAACCGCAUGGUUCAAUAGUGAAAGACGGUUUUGCUGUCACUUAUAGAUGGAUCCGCGCCGCAUUAGCUAGUUGGUAAGGUAACGGCUUACCAAGGCGACGAUGCGUAGCCGACCUGAGAGGGUGAUCGGCCACACUGGAACUGAGACACGGUCCAGACUACUAAGGGAGGCAGCAGUAGGGAAUCUUCCGAAAUGGGCGAAAGCCUGACGGAGCAACGACGCGUGAGUGAUGAAGGUCUUCGGAUCGUAAAACUCUGUUAUUAGGGAAGAACAAAUGUGUAAGUAACUAUGCACGUCUUGACGGUACCUAAUCAGAAAGCCACGGCUAACUACGUG